UACGUAGGUGACCAGCGUUGUCCGGAUUUACUGGGCGUAAAGGGCGCGUAGGCGGCGUGUCAAGUCAGGCGUGAAAGCCCCGGGCUCAACCUGGGAACCGCGCUUGAGACUGGCAUGCUCGAGUUCGGGAGAGGAUGGUGGAAUUCCCAGUGUAGAGGUGAAAUUCGUAGAUAUUGGGAAGAACACCGAUGGCGAAGGCAGCCAUCUGGACCGACACUGACGCUGAGGCGCGAAAGCGUGGGGAGCAAACAGG
This 253-nucleotide ribosomal RNA is filed under the name uncultured bacterium. RNAcentral describes it as "partial 16S ribosomal RNA". It matches the Rfam family "Bacterial small subunit ribosomal RNA", at positions 524 to 776 of the family's 1533-position model. The record is from RNAcentral.